This 230-nucleotide unclassified non-coding RNA is filed under the name Hevea brasiliensis (rubber tree). Lineage: Eukaryota; Viridiplantae; Streptophyta; Magnoliopsida; Malpighiales; Euphorbiaceae. The record is from RNAcentral.
AUGCCAUUAAUGGUAUUUCUCACACUGAUACAGAAACUCCACUCAAACUUGCUGAGUACUACGGGAUUUCAGAAAAGGUUUUCAAGUAUGACACCAUUCAAGACAACCCACCAGCUAAAAUCGACAAGAUUGUGACACAGCCUAAUGUCCUGAACAUGACCUUCCGUAACUUUGUGGAGAUCAUCUUUGAGAAUCAUGAGAAGACAAUGCAAUCAUGGCACUUGGAUGGG